AGUGAACGCUGGCGGUAGGCCUAACACAUGCAAGUCGAACGGCAGCACAGUAAGAGCUUGCUCUUACGGGUGGCGAGUGGCGGACGGGUGAGGAAUACAUCGGAAUCUACUUUUUCGUGGGGGAUAACGUAGGGAAACUUACGCUAAUACCGCAUACGACCUACGGGUGAAAGCAGGGGAUCUUCCGACCUUGCGCGAUUGAAUGAGCCGAUGUCGGAUUAGCUAGUUGGCGGGGUAAAGGCCCACCAAGGCGACGAUCCGUAGCUGGUCUGAGAGGAUGAUCAGCCACACUGGAACUGAGACACGGACCAGACUCCUACGGGAGGCAGCAGUGGGGAAUAUUGGACAAUGGGCGCAAGCCUGAUCCAGCCAUACCGCGUGGGUGAAGAAGGCCUUCGGGUUGUAAAGCCCUUUUGUUGGGAAAGAAAAGCAGCAGGUUAAUACCCCGCUGUUCUGACGGUACCCAAAGAAUAAGCACCGGCUAACUUCGUG
RNAcentral lists this ribosomal RNA (492 nucleotides) under uncultured bacterium. RNAcentral's name for it is "partial 16S ribosomal RNA". It matches the Rfam family "Bacterial small subunit ribosomal RNA", at positions 29 to 507 of the family's 1533-position model. The record is from RNAcentral.